RNAcentral lists this ribosomal RNA (465 nucleotides) under Bassus sp. RNAcentral's name for it is "partial 16S ribosomal RNA". The record is from RNAcentral. Lineage: Eukaryota; Metazoa; Arthropoda; Insecta; Hymenoptera; Braconidae.
CUGCUCCAUGAAAAUUUUAAAUAGCUGCAGUAUUUGUAACUGUACUAAGGUAGCAUAAUAAUUAGUUUUUUAAUUGAAAACUGGAAUGAAAGAUUUAAUGAAAAAUAAACUGUUUCUUAUUUAAAAAAUUAAGUUAAAAUUUAAGUAAAAAUUCUUAAAUUUAAUAAAAAGACAAGAAGACCCUAUAGAAUUUUAUAAAUUAUUUUAAAAUUUUUAUUUAAUAAUAAAAAAUUUAUAAAAUAUUUUAUUUAAUUGGGGAAAUUUUAAAAUUUAAUAAAUUUUUAAAUUAAAUUAACAUUAUAAAUGAAAUUAAAUAAUUUAAUUUAAAUAUAAUAUAAUAAAUUACCUUAGGGAUAACAGUAUAAUUUUAUUUUUUAGUUCUUAUAAAAAAUAAAUUUUAUAACCUCGAUGUUGAAUUAAAAAAAAAUAAAAUGAAAAAGAUUUAUAUUUUAAGUCUGUUCGACU